RNAcentral lists this ribosomal RNA (388 nucleotides) under uncultured bacterium. Its description in RNAcentral is "bacterial SSU rRNA". It matches the Rfam family "Bacterial small subunit ribosomal RNA", at positions 28 to 417 of the family's 1533-position model. The record is from RNAcentral.
GACGAACGCUGGCGGCGUGCUUAACACAUGCAAGUCGAGCGGUAAGGCCCUUUCGGGGGUACGACGAGCGGCGAACGGGUGAGUAACACGUGGGUGACCUGCCCUCAGCUCUGGGAUAAGCCCGGGAAACUGGGUCUAAUACUGGAUAUGACUCCACGGUGCAUGCCGUGGGGUGGAAAGCCUUGUGCGGCUGAGGAUGGGCCCGCGGCCUAUCAGCUUGUUGGUGGGGUGAGGCCUACCAAGGCGACGACGGGUAGCCGGCCUGAGAGGGCGACCGGCCACACUGGGACUGAGACACGGCCCAGACUCCUACGGGAGGCAGCAGUGGGGAAUCUUGCGCAAUGGGCGAAAGCCUGACGCAGCGACGCCGCGUGAGGGAUGACGGCCU